ACCUCUCUUGCAUCACUGUUAUUUUCAUUUCGUCCUUUACCUGUCUCUCUUGAAGCUUCUCAAGCUGGAUCUGGCAUUACUGGCGUACCCGAACAUCAACCAUUGUCUCUUUUUUAUUUCCUGCACUUUCACUCACAUAUGCACUUUCUCUUUACGUAGUUUCUUUUGUCAAAUUUAUUUGCAGGUUGCAAUUUUUUCAACCUUAGGGUUUCGAAUUUGGGGCUUGUGCAGCAACCUAUCAAAUUUGUUUCCCUCGUUACAAAAUUGGAGUUUAUCUUGACACGCAUGCAGACUUUCCAUGACGAGUUCAGUCACUGUGAUUUGAAUUUAGAUUCGAACAGUGUAUGAUGUGAGUUUGAGUGAUGAGAGCUGACCUCAAGAUCUCUUUGAUUUCGUCAGCGGCAAACGCUUUCAAGUCAUGGGAAAGGCUUGAUGUGCAAGUGCCAACUGUUUAAUAUGACUCUUGCUGCUUUGUAUGGUUUCUACUUUCCAUUUCUUCUGUUUAUUAUUUACUAAUUCUGCAUACCGGUUUCCAGAGGUGGAAUUAUAUCCCACUCUUUUGAAUUGGAAGCCAAGACGAAAGGACUGUUUAGUGGUGCAACAGCUGUUAUUACAUUUCGCUUUCCCUCAAAGGCUGCUCUGCAGGAGAGUGUUGAUGCUUUUAUCAACUGUGUUGUGAAAAACAGAGGAUUCAGCUAGGGAAAGCACGCUGCCUGUUUGAUCAGAAUGUGGAAGGACCAGUCACAUAUACAAUUGUUAUACUUUCGAUGAGAAUACUCCACUUGUUGAUGAUCCAGAGUACAUCUCUGCAUUGGGUGAAACAAUAUUCAAGGGGCUGCAAAGCGGAGAUAAGGAUGGGGUCUGGCUAAUGCAGGUAAAAGGAAGGAUUUAAUUGAGUCUUACUAUUUAACUCUGAGUAUCUCUUUAAGAGAAUGUAGCUAGUUACAUUGACAUCCCAUUUGUAAACAGUAACCAUGCCUGAUUAUUUAUGUUUCUCUAGAUAUUAGGACACGAUACUUGCGCCAUUUUCAUUUUAGUGCAAGUAGCAUGCAUACUAUGGAAUAGUUUUUAUACCCUCAUAUAUUGUUUAUGCAUUAGUGCCUAAGCAUGCAUACUCUGUGAAAUCAUAGUGAUUAUUUCUAGCCAAGUAAGCUGACUUGCCCCUUUGCUGCUUGCAAGAGAGAGAUCUUUUUGUAGUUCAGUGAUGGACCAAAAGAGAUGAUAUAUUGUUCUUAUUUCAGAUGAAAGAAGAGUGAAAGGAGUCUCUUGUAGAGUUGUUUACAA
Long non-coding RNA from Rosa rugosa (rugosa rose), 1284 nucleotides. RefSeq lists it as uncharacterized. Lineage: Eukaryota; Viridiplantae; Streptophyta; Magnoliopsida; Rosales; Rosaceae. The record is from RefSeq and is a predicted model, not a curated record. The transcript has 4 exons.